Non-coding RNA from Misgurnus anguillicaudatus (oriental weatherfish), 4701 nucleotides. The record is from RefSeq and is a predicted model, not a curated record. NCBI's taxonomy places the organism in Eukaryota, Metazoa, Chordata, Actinopteri, Cypriniformes, Cobitidae.
UCCCAUAACAACUUUAUCCUGUGCCUUAGGUUUCAAAUGUAUACACUGUAUAUCGUAAUGCAACAUGUUUAAAGUAUAUGUCUACUUAUGCUGUGUUCACAUGAUUGUUUAACAUAUGCUGUCUAGCUCUGAGCUGGUUCAUUCAAAUUUCCUCUUGAUGAUUGAUGAUUUUGCACUUACUAUGUUGGGAGUUAUUACAACAUAUCCUCUAGCUUUGCUGCAGGUUGAUUGUGGUUGGGUCAAGUAGGGUAGGCUAAGGACAUGUUCCAGACCCAACUUCUCUGUUUUAAGCACCACUUCCUUGCACGUAGGUAGAACAUAAAACUGUCUAGGAUUGUUUGCUAAAAGUGCAUGCUUGCAGGGUUAAUUUAUCACGUGAUUGUUUGUCUCGACGGAUUUGCUCAAUGUGUUGAUCACAAGAUUAUGACUAAUGGUCCCAAGGUGACUAGCAUUUCCUUUCUGUAUCCUAUAUAAGCUGUAGGAUGUCUAAUAAACUUUGGUCUAUGUUUGAACUGCAUUUCGGUGUCAGUGUCUUUCAUGGUCCCCUGAUAUAUAUCAGACUUCUCUGCUGCUCAUCUCAGACCUCAUCGAACUACCUCAGCACAGAAAACUAAAGAAACUCUCAUACCUCUAGACCUGCUUAGAAUUAGAUUCUAACAGUUGGGCGCUCGUCCGGCGAAAGGGGGGAGAUCCUCCGACAGAUCCGGAGACCGAAAAUUCGAACACCGCAGAUCGGGAAGGACCUACAAAAGGGGUAAGUGUUUGCGAUAUUUCUAAUUUUGAAAUACAGCGCUUACCCCCUGUAGUGUCCGGUCUUGUGACUCGAGACAAGAUUUUUAAUUCACUCGGGGCCGAAAAGGCAUGUAGCAAGUGCUACAGAAUAUAACGAGUGAGGGUGCUCGCUUCGAAGGACAGAGGGAUUUGGUCGAGAUUAAAUUCGAACACUAAGUUCCGUGAAUAGCUGGAGUUGAAUACUGCCAGCUACAUAGCUAGACUAUGGAUCGAAGCGAAGUCAAAUAUACAGCUGGAGCUCACUGUAUAUUUGGGAUCGCGGUGUUGGUAAAUUGUUAUUUAAUCGUAUAUUUUACGAGUGCGGCCCGUGUUGAAUAAGCUGAUUGGAAAUAAGCUAACAGUGAAAAAGCUAUUAUUUACAUAUGCCCUUUGAAUGAAAUUGUGAACAAAUAAAAUUUGGACUAAUUCGCUGAAAUUGAAUUUGCAAUUUUGAAAUAAUAAAUUGCUAAAUCGAUGACUGAAUUUUACAAUACGAAUUGACAAAUGAAUGUCUAAAAUCUACGAACGGUACGAAAUUAUAACUGAGGCUGAGCGGAGGAGCACAGAAAAAACCCGGGUGUUUGUCUAUUGCUUAUUUGUACUUAUUGCUGUUUGCUUGUUAUUGCUGCUAUUAUUUGUUUACAUUGUGUUGAAGAUGGGUGAUUCUGCUACGGCCAGGCAAAAGCCUGAUGAAUUUAUGUAUACAAAUAAUAGAGGUUUUUAUGUUGAACUGUACGUCACUUAGCGGUUAGUAAUAUAAUAACUUUGCAUUGAAAAACCCCAACGCAAGAUGCGCUGCCAUAUUUUAUAUCGAAUAGUAGGCUAACAGCCUAAGUUUAUCGUCGCCACAAAUUGCUGUAAAAUACGUGAAUGUUUUGCAAUCUCACAAGAGGUAUGCACACGUAACAGGGGCAGAUUUGUGCUAUUUUGUUGAAAACAUUACCGAUGUAACAAAAAACAUAACUGAUACGUGCCGCUGUCUGAUUCGGGAAAACCAUGUGACUGGAGGUGAGGGGACUGCAGCCUCUCGCAAUCCACUCACACGGGAAGAUCAUGAAUAUCAUGAUAUGCUUUUUUGAUCAGCUGCGCGUUCUUCUAAAUAAACGGUUUGGCAUUUACCAGUAUUUAUCAUUUGCAUUAAACGGAAAGAUAAAACCAAAUGAAACUGCCUCUGAAUUUUGCACACGUUUCAAAGCAUUAUGAGUUUAUUCUAGAUUACAGAUUGACAAAGUCUGAGUGCGCUGUUACAAAUAUGCUGUUGAAUAAUAUGAAUCAUAGGUAAGUGAAAUCCGUUGGAUAUGAAUGUGAUUAGACUGAUUUGUGAGUCUGAUGCAUCUGGUGAACAUGCUAUGUUUUCAGUGCAAGUCUCAUCGAACGGGAAAAGGUUGCUUAAGCACCGGAAAGGAAACUGAGAUUUGAUAUAAUGUGUUAUUAUGUGGACAAAGGGGCCACAUGAAAUGUGACUGUCGUUCAAAAGGGGGGUGAAAUUUUAUUCCAAGGGCGCAACCACGUAGACAGUCAAUGCAACAGCCAAAGCAAGUGCAUCAGAAACUAUCUGACAGUAAUUACCAGACAACUGGCAUAACAAAACACAAUGAAAUGUUCUGACCCAUUACACCACCUCUGGAGACAUACAGUGAUCCUCUGCCUAUGGGGGGAGGAAGUAAGAAGGCCGACCAAGACCCAGUAGCCGCCCGCAUACCACAUGAUGUAGACACCUUGAUUAACCCAUGCCUAUGAACUCAGUCAAACAAUGAUACAGGUUUCAUUGAUAUGAAACCAUUUAAAAGUUAAACUUAAACCUGUGUACAUCAAACAAUAUCCUUUGUCAAAAGAAAAGAUGGCAUUAAACCUAUUAUUUACCAUUUUGUUUAACAGGGUGUCCUCGUACCUACUCGCCAUACAACACACCGAUUAACCCGGUGGUGAAUGCUGAUGGAAAGACAUAAUGUCUUACACAAGAUUUAAGAGCACUCAAUAAACUGAUAAUUCCUCUGUCUCUGAUUGUUCCAGAUGUGCCGACUGUUAUAAAUUUUAUACCAUGCACACAUAAGUAUUUCUGUCAUUGAUUUGUGUGCUGCUUUUGUUUCUCUGUUCCAGUGCAUCCAGACACACAGCCACUGCUAGCCUUAUAGGAUAGGGGGCGCCUGAACUAAGAAGGGUAUGUUGACUCACCAUCCGUCCUCUCCGCUGCAGUGGAAAAAAGACAUUGAAAAAAAAAAAAAGAUCAACUUCCUAUUUUCGGGUUUGCUGUCUGCUGUAUGCCGAUGACAUCAUGGUCUCUGCUCUGACUGAAAAGAACUGUGAGAAAGCCUCCAUUAUCGUCUGCAAUAUUCUGGUGGACGCUGGUUUCAAAGCAUCAAAAAACAGCUCCAGUGGGUCAAGAAAAAGUUCUCGUGCCUGGGUCACAUCAUAAUGCCAGGUCUUCAAAAAACCUCCACAGUUCAGAUUGAACUGAUCGGGAAGAUUAAAUUCCCACGAACUGUGUAACAGCUCCAAAGUUUUCUGGAGUUCAUAAACUGUUGUCGCUCAUGGAAACCUGAGUGUGCUGCCCAUGACGGACAUUUGCAGAGCCUGAUUGAUCACAAGGCAUCGCCUGCAUCACUGAUAUGCUGGACUGAUGAAGCAGAGACUCAUUUCAUGGCACUGAAACACGCCAUUACUGCGGCCACAACUCUGGGCCAUCCGAACUAUGCAAAAACUUUUUACCUGCAUGCGUGAGAGGCGAAGGGUGUGGCUCUGGGUAUCCUUUGGCAACAACAAGGUUGCACUUAUAGGCCAGUGGCAUAUCUGUCUAGAAAACUAGAUCAUGCAGUUCCAGGUAUGCCUGAAAUGUCUUUAUGCAGUGGCUGCUGAUGUUCUGUUUGUACAGGUGGCUGAGAGAACGGUGCUGUCACAGUCAAUGAUUCUACACAUCACAUCAAGUAGGUGCAUUUUUACACAACACAGGAUGGCACAGAGGCGAUUUGGGUAUGAGGCUACGCUGUUGGCAACCAAAAAUUUAACGAUCCAGCCCACUUUUAACAUUAAUUCCACUUUUGCUGGGAGUUUUGGGACUGGUAGACAUGACUGAGCACGAUCUAAAACAUGAUUGUAUUGUUGAAUUGACCACUUCCUGUUCCUCUAGGGCCGAUUUAAUGGAAUCGCCCCUAGAUGGGGGGGUCAGAUCUAUGUGGAUGGCUCAUAUACAAAGCCAUCGGACGGUGUCUACCUGUGUGGUUAUGCUGUGGUGUCGGAUACUGGUGAGGUUAUUAAAGCCUUUGCUCUAAAUUACAACUCAGCACAAGGUGCAGAAUUGGUAACUCUAUUACGAGCUUGUGAGCUAAUGAAAGGAAAAAAGCCACAAUCUACACGACUCAAAAUAUGUGUAUUCUAAAUUUUGUAAAAACAUGGGAAGCCUGAGAUUUUAAGACAGCAGAUGGUAAGCCUAUAGUUUAUUCAAAUUUGAUAUGACGGUUGACAAAAGCAGUACAGCUACCGUCUGAAGUGGCAAUAGUGAAAGUAAAAGGUCAUGAAUCAGGAAAUAAUGACCAGGCUAUGGGAAACAAGAAGAGCAGAUGAGGCUGCAAAAGAAGCAGCUCAAGCUCAAAUUAAAUCACUAUUUGAGUAUGAUGUCAAAACAGACCUUGCUAUGGUUGUGCAAGUGACUAACAUGAUAUUGAUAUAAAAUUUUUCGAAUAUUGGAGCAAAUAUGGAUGUGCACCAGAUGAAAAGGGAGUCAUGAGAGACGAGAAAGGAAGAGUAGCGUUUUCAAAACUGGGACUGGUAAUUUUAAUAAGAUAUUACCAUGGUCUAUCAUAUACCAGUAGUACAAAGGUGACACAAGCAAUUAAUCCAUUUUAUUAUAUUGCAGAUAAAAAGAAAACCAACAAAUUGAUUUUGGACUCAUGUUUAACAUGUGCAAAAUUGAACCCGCAUCGAAAACCAAAA